RNAcentral lists this transfer RNA (73 nucleotides) under Cyprinella lutrensis (red shiner). RNAcentral's name for it is "tRNA-Leu". Lineage: Eukaryota; Metazoa; Chordata; Actinopteri; Cypriniformes; Leuciscidae. The record is from RNAcentral.
AGCUUCCGCUUGGACUUGCACCAAGAGUUUCUGGUUCCUAAGACCAACGGAUGAGCUGUUAUCCCUCAGAAGC